RNAcentral lists this ribosomal RNA (253 nucleotides) under uncultured bacterium. RNAcentral describes it as "partial 16S ribosomal RNA". It matches the Rfam family "Bacterial small subunit ribosomal RNA", at positions 524 to 776 of the family's 1533-position model. The record is from RNAcentral.
UACGUAGGCAGCGAGCGUUGUUCGGAGUUACUGGGCGUAAAGAGUGCGUAGGCGGUUUUCUAAGUUUGGUGUGAAAUCUCCCGGCUUAACUGGGAGGGUGCGCCGAAGACUGGAAGGCUUGAGUAUGGGAGAGGUAAGCGGAAUUCCUGGCGUAGCGGUGAAAUGCGUAGAUAUCAGGAGGAACACCUGCGGUGUAGACGGCUUACUGGACCAUCACUGACGCUGAGGCAUGAAAGCGUGGGUAGCAAACAGG